UUAAUUGUCCGGUAUUUUCCUGUUUUUCCUAUGUAUGCCUAAUUUGAUUGGAAAUUCUAAUUUUAAUUAAUUUGAAUUUUCUGAGCUAAUUAUUUGCAUUAUUAUUUUCAGGGAAAAUUUUGGACAAACAAUUUGGAGCAUUGGGAGGGAGACAAAAUAAUUCAAGACUCUUGUCAUAGACAUUUCAAAUUUAAUUACUUUGAAACUUAGUAGUCUAGAUAGUUUUUAAUUAAACUUGUAAACAUUGGGCCAAUUUUUGGCAAAAUAGUUUGAGCCCAAAUAGGAAACAUGACAUGACACCUGAGGUUUUGCAAAGAAGGUGGACCCCACCUCAUUUUUGGAGUGCACAUGGCCUUGCAAAAGAGCAACCAGCCGUCACAUUGCAUGGGCACACUCUUGGCAUUUUUUUUCUGAUUGAAGGGGGGC
Molecule: long non-coding RNA, 426 nt
Filed under: Vigna radiata
Lineage: Eukaryota; Viridiplantae; Streptophyta; Magnoliopsida; Fabales; Fabaceae
Description: long non-coding RNA (VRAD_LNC013376)
Source: RNAcentral